RNAcentral lists this ribosomal RNA (682 nucleotides) under Pluteus sp. V AJ-2010. RNAcentral describes it as "eukaryotic LSU rRNA". The stretch from base 287 to 440 matches the Rfam family "5.8S ribosomal RNA". The record is from RNAcentral. Lineage: Eukaryota; Fungi; Basidiomycota; Agaricomycetes; Agaricales; Pluteaceae.
AAGGUUUCCGUAGGUGAACCUGCGGAAGGAUCAUUAUUGAAUAAACCAGUGUGGGUUGUUGCUGGCCUCUUCUAGGGGUAUGUGCACACCUGCCAGUUGUUUCAUUCCCCUUCCACCUGUGCACAUUGUGUAGAUCAGACCGUCACUUCAGGCAUGCGCCCUGYGUGGCCUGGCAUGAGGACUUGCUCUGGCUGUCCUUGGGCGGGUAUGAUCUAUGUCUUUUAACCAACUCUGUAUGGUAUCGAAUGUUUGCUUGGGCUCUAAAUAAGACCCAUAAAAUCUAUACAACUUUCAACAACGGAUCUCUUGGCUCUCGCAUCGAUGAAGAACGCAGCGAAAUGCGAUAAGUAAUGUGAAUUGCAGAAUUCAGUGAAUCAUCGAAUCUUUGAACGCACCUUGCGCUCCUUGGUAUUCCGAGGAGCAUGCCUGUUUGAGUGUCAUUAAAUCCUCAACUCUCUCCCCUUUUUAAGUGGUUUGAGUUGGAUUUGGGAGCUGUGCUGGCCUAUUUGUGUCAGCUCUCCUGAAAUGCAUUAGCAGAGCCGAGUCUGCAACCUUGGUAUUGAUAGAUGUCUUACCAGGUGGUGGGCAAGCGAUGUGCUCAGCUUCUAGCUGUCUCAURUAGACAACAUCUGACGAUUUGACCUCAAAUCAGGUAGGACUACCCGCUGAACUUAAGCAUAUC